CCUGUCCCUGGGCGUGCGAGGAGGUGGGGCCCUGGGAGGUAAUUAGGUCCCCAGGGCGGAGCCUUCCGGAAGGGAAAGCAGUCAGUGUCCCCAGCGAGGACUCGGCGAGAAGAGGGUCACCUGUGGGUGCCUCGGUCGUGGACUUCUCAGCCUGCGGCAAACGGCGAGGAAACAUUUCCGUGCCCGCAGUUCCUCUUCCCGGGCCCGAGCGAGCGAGCGGGGUGCGCCCGAGGCCACGCAGGUCCGCAGGGUCGCCCGCGUCCAGGUGAGCCGCGCGCGCAGCCCCGGCCCAGGUGUGGCGGCGGGACCCGCCAGGCUCCCCGGAUGGAGGGCGCCGUGCUGUGGGCGUCGUCGCUGUGGCUGUGGCUGUCGCUGUCGCUGCUGCGGGGCCCGGGCGGCCAGGGCCUGUCCUGCAACGUGACCGCGGUGGACUGGGCGGCGGAGUUCGAGGCCGAGUGCCUGAACCUGAGCGGCCUGGGCGUGCGCCCCCCGCGCAACGGCUCCCUGCGCGCGCGCCGCCUGGCGCUGCUCGACCUGUCGCGCAACGGGCUGCGGGAGCUGCCGCCGCCCGGCUUCUUCGCGCAGCUGCCGG
Molecule: long non-coding RNA, 592 nt
Filed under: Microcebus murinus (gray mouse lemur)
Lineage: Eukaryota; Metazoa; Chordata; Mammalia; Primates; Cheirogaleidae
Description: lncRNA (ENSMICG00000048171.1)
Source: RNAcentral